RNAcentral lists this ribosomal RNA (422 nucleotides) under uncultured bacterium. Its description in RNAcentral is "bacterial SSU rRNA". It matches the Rfam family "Bacterial small subunit ribosomal RNA", at positions 355 to 775 of the family's 1533-position model. The record is from RNAcentral.
UGAGGAAUAUUGGUCAAUGGGCGGAAGCCUGGACCAGCCAUGCCGCGUGCAGGAAGGAGGCCCUACGGGUUGUAAACUGCUUUUACCCGGGAAGAAACCGCCCCCUGUGGGGGGCGUUGCCGGUACCGGGGGAAAAAGGAUCGGCUAACUCCGUGCCAGCAGCCGCGGUAAUACGGAGGAUCCGGCGUUAUCCGGAAUUACUGGGUUUAAAGGGUGCGUAGGCGGGGCUUUAAGCCGGCGGUGAAGUGCAGCGGCUCAACCGCUGGAAUGCCGUUGGGACUGGGGCUCUUGGAUACGGUCGGGGCGGGUGGAACUCGUGGUGUAGCGGUGAAAUGCAUAGAUAUCACGAGGAACGCCGGUAGCGAAGGCAGCUCGCCGGGCCGGUAUUGACGCUGAGGCACGAAAGCGUGGGGAUCGAACAG